RNAcentral lists this ribosomal RNA (1100 nucleotides) under Synechococcus sp. AG-683-A03. RNAcentral describes it as "bacterial SSU rRNA". It matches the Rfam family "Bacterial small subunit ribosomal RNA", at positions 405 to 1520 of the family's 1533-position model. The record is from RNAcentral. Lineage: Bacteria; Bacillati; Cyanobacteriota; Cyanophyceae; Synechococcales; Synechococcaceae.
GGGAUGAAGGCCUCUGGGCUGUAAACCUCUUUUAUCAAGGAAGAAGAUCUGACGGUACUUGAUGAAUAAGCCACGGCUAAUUCCGUGCCAGCAGCCGCGGUAAUACGGGAGUGGCAAGCGUUAUCCGGAAUUAUUGGGCGUAAAGCGUCCGCAGGCGGCCCUACAAGUCUGCUGUUAAAAAGUGGAGCUUAACUCCAUCAUGGCAGUGGAAACUGUUGGGCUUGAGUGUGGUAGGGGCAGAGGGAAUUCCCGGUGUAGCGGUGAAAUGCGUAGAUAUCGGGAAGAACACCAGUGGCGAAGGCGCUCUGCUGGGCCAUCACUGACGCUCAUGGACGAAAGCCAGGGGAGCGAAAGGGAUUAGAUACCCCUGUAGUCCUGGCCGUAAACGAUGAACACUAGGUGUCGGGGGAAUCGACCCCUCCGGUGUCGUAGCCAACGCGUUAAGUGUUCCGCCUGGGGAGUACGCACGCAAGUGUGAAACUCAAAGGAAUUGACGGGGGCCCGCACAAGCGGUGGAGUAUGUGGUUUAAUUCGAUGCAACGCGAAGAACCUUACCAGGGUUUGACAUCCUGCGAAUCUCUUGGAAACUUGAGAGUGCCUUCGGGAGCGCAGUGACAGGUGGUGCAUGGCUGUCGUCAGCUCGUGUCGUGAGAUGUUGGGUUAAGUCCCGCAACGAGCGCAACCCACGUCUUUAGUUGCCAGCAUUUAGUUGGGCACUCUAGAGAGACCGCCGGUGAUAAACCGGAGGAAGGUGUGGAUGACGUCAAGUCAUCAUGCCCCUUACAUCCUGGGCUACACACGUACUACAAUGCUACGGACAAAGGGCAGCAAGUUCGCGAGGACAAGCAAAUCCCAUAAACCGUAGCUCAGUUCAGAUCGUAGGCUGCAACUCGCCUACGUGAAGGAGGAAUCGCUAGUAAUCGCAGGUCAGCAUACUGCGGUGAAUACGUUCCCGGGCCUUGUACACACCGCCCGUCACACCAUGGAAGUUGGCCACGCCCGAAGCCGUUACUCCAACCCUUGUGGAGGAGGACGUCGAAGGUGGGGCUGAUGACUGGGGUGAAGUCGUAACAAGGUAGCCGUACCGGAAGGUGCGGCUG